This 192-nucleotide ribosomal RNA is filed under the name Microbulbifer sp. L2-B07. RNAcentral's name for it is "partial 16S ribosomal RNA". It matches the Rfam family "Bacterial small subunit ribosomal RNA", at positions 340 to 524 of the family's 1533-position model. The record is from RNAcentral. Lineage: Bacteria; Pseudomonadati; Pseudomonadota; Gammaproteobacteria; Cellvibrionales; Microbulbiferaceae.
UACGGGAGGCAGCAGUGGGGAAUAUUGCACAAUGGGCGCAAGCCUGAUGCAGCCAUGCCGCGUGUGUGAAGAAGGCCUUCGGGUUGUAAAGCACUUUCAGUAGGGAGGAAGGCCCUAAAGUUAAUACCUUUGGGGAUUGACGUUACCUACAGAAGAAGCACCGGCUAACUCCGUGCCAGCAGCCGCGGUAAU